GCAGCGCCCUAAUUUUGUUGUUGGGGGAAUGGUGCCAUUCUCCCCCGCCCGGGAAACAAUUGGAUAUUUUUCCCCAAGGGGGAAAACCUAAGGCGCAAACGCCCCCGGACGGGUCGAAGGCCCUUGGGCUGUCAACCUCUUUCUCAAGGAAGACGAUAGACGGUACUUGAGGAAUAAGCCACGGCUAAUUCCGUGCCAGCAGCCGCGGUAAUACGGGAGUGGCAAGCGUUAUCCGGAAUUAUUGGGCGUAAAGCGUCCGCAGGCGGCCUUUCAAGUCUGCUGUUAAAGCGUGGAGCUUAACUCCAUUAUGGCAGUGGAAACUGAUUGGCUUGAGUAUGGUAGGGGCAGAGGGAAUUCCCGGUGUAGCGGUGAAAUGCGUAGAUAUCGGGAAGAACACCAGUGGCGAAGGCGCUCUGCUGGGCCAUUACUGACGCUCAUGGACGAAAGCCAGGGGAGCGAAAGGGAUUAGAUACCCCUGUAGUCCUGGCCGU
This 491-nucleotide ribosomal RNA is filed under the name uncultured bacterium. RNAcentral's name for it is "bacterial SSU rRNA". It matches the Rfam family "Bacterial small subunit ribosomal RNA", at positions 260 to 803 of the family's 1533-position model. The record is from RNAcentral.